CGCGUGGGUAACCCUACCUUCAUACACUUGAGGAUACCAUUCUGAUAGGUAUGUUAAUCCAAGAUGGUUUUAAGGGGUUUGGCAUGGGUUUUCUUAUCAAAAGGUCCGGCGGUAUGAGAUGACCCCGCUUUUGAUUAGGUAGUUGGUAAGGUAACGGGCUUACCCAAGGUGACGAUCCAGUAGCCGACCUGAGAGGGUGAUUCGGCCACAUGCGAACUGAGACACGGUCCAAACUCUUACGGGAGGCAGCAGUGGGGAAUAUUGCACAAUGGGCGAAAGCCUGAUGCAGCAACGCCGCGUGAGCGAUGAAGGGCAUUCGGGUCGUAAAGCUCUGUCCUCAAGGAAGAUAAUGACGGUACUUGAGGAGGAAGCCCCGGCUAACUACGUGUCAGCAGCCGCGGUAAUACGUAGGGGGCUAGCGUUAUCCGGAUUUACUGGGCGUAAAGGGUGCGUAGGUGGUUUCUUAAGUCAGGAGUGAAAGGCUACGGCUCAACCGUAGUAAGCUCUUGAAACUGGGAAACUUGAGUGCAGGAGAGGAAAGUGGAAUUCCUAGUGUAGCGGUGAAAUGCGUAGAUAUUAGGAGGAACACCAGUAGCGAAGGCGGCUUUCUGGACUGUAACUGACACUGAGGCACGAAAGCGUGGGGAGCAAACAGGAUUAGAUACCCUGGUAGUCCACGCCGUAAACGAUGAGUACAAGGUGUCGGGGGUUACCCCCCUCGGUGCCGCAGCUAACGCA
RNAcentral lists this ribosomal RNA (738 nucleotides) under uncultured bacterium. Its description in RNAcentral is "bacterial SSU rRNA". It matches the Rfam family "Bacterial small subunit ribosomal RNA", at positions 114 to 859 of the family's 1533-position model. The record is from RNAcentral.